This 460-nucleotide ribosomal RNA is filed under the name uncultured bacterium. Its description in RNAcentral is "partial 16S ribosomal RNA". It matches the Rfam family "Bacterial small subunit ribosomal RNA", at positions 338 to 795 of the family's 1533-position model. The record is from RNAcentral.
CCUACGGGAGGCAGCAGUGAGGAAUAUUGGUCAAUGGACGAGAGUCUGAACCAGCCAAGUAGCGUGAAGGAUGACUGCCCUAUGGGUUGUAAACUUCUUUUAUAUGGGAAUAAAAUGUUCCACGUGUGGGAUUUUGUAUGUACCAUAUGAAUAAGGAUCGGCUAACUCCGUGCCAGCAGCCGCGGUAAUACGGAGGAUCCGAGCGUUAUCCGGAUUUAUUGGGUUUAAAGGGAGCGUAGGUGGAUUGUUAAGUCAUUUGUGAAAGUUUGCGGCUCAACCGUAAAAUUGCAGUUGAAACUGGCAGUCUUGAGUACAGUAGAGGUGGGCGGAAUUCGUGGUGUAGCGGUGAAAUGCUUAGAUAUCACGAAGAACUCCGAUUGCGAAGGCAGUUCACUGGACUGCAACUGACACUGAGGCUCGAAAGUGUGGGUAUCAAACAGGAUUAGAUACCCCUGUAGUC